RNAcentral lists this ribosomal RNA (253 nucleotides) under uncultured bacterium. Its description in RNAcentral is "partial 16S ribosomal RNA". It matches the Rfam family "Bacterial small subunit ribosomal RNA", at positions 524 to 776 of the family's 1533-position model. The record is from RNAcentral.
UACGUAGGGUGCGAGCGUUAAUCGGAAUUAUUGGGCGUAAAGCGUGCGCAGGCGGUUCGUUGUGUCGGCGGUGAAAGCCCCGGGCUCAACCUGGGAAUGGCCGUUGAAACUGGCGAACUGGAGUGUGGCAGAGGGGGGUGGAAUUCCGCGUGUAGCAGUGAAAUGCGUAGAGAUGCGGAGGAACACCGAUGGCGAAGGCAGCCCCCUGGGCUGACACUGACGCUCAGGCACGAAAGCGUGGGGAGCAAACAGG